GAUGCAGCGACGCCGCGUGAGGGAUGGAGGCCUUCGGGUUGUGAACCUCUUUCGCCAGUGAAGCAGGCCUGUCCCUUGUGGGCGGGUUGACGGUAGCUGGAUAAGAAGCGCCGGCUAACUACGUGCCAGCAGCCGCGGUAAUACGUAGGGCGCGAGCGUUGUCCGGAAUUAUUGGGCGUAAAGAGCUCGUAGGCGGCUGGUCGCGUCUGUCGUGAAAUCCUCUGGCUUAACUGGGGGCUUGCGGUGGGUACGGGCCGGCUUGAGUGCGGUAGGGGAGACUGGAACUCCUGGUGUAGCGGUGGAAUGCGCAGAUAUCAGGAAGAACACCGGUGGCGAAGGCGGGUCUCUGGGCCGUUACUGACGCUGAGGAGCGAAAGCGUGGGGAGCGAACA
RNAcentral lists this ribosomal RNA (392 nucleotides) under Actinomyces sp. RNAcentral describes it as "bacterial SSU rRNA". It matches the Rfam family "Bacterial small subunit ribosomal RNA", at positions 385 to 774 of the family's 1533-position model. The record is from RNAcentral. Lineage: Bacteria; Bacillati; Actinomycetota; Actinomycetes; Actinomycetales; Actinomycetaceae.